UUGGAUGUGGUGCACGGUGCACGCCUGUUCUUGAUUACAAGCUGAAGGAGCGUCAAGCAGGCAGUCCGGGUUCGACUCCCGGCGUCCGAA
This is a non-coding RNA of Mycena galericulata, 90 nucleotides long. Lineage: Eukaryota; Fungi; Basidiomycota; Agaricomycetes; Agaricales; Mycenaceae. The record is from the annotation of a GenBank genome assembly.